UAUCGACUCUACUGAUUGUACUGUAGGCAC
This 30-nucleotide unclassified non-coding RNA is filed under the name Dictyostelium discoideum. The record is from RNAcentral. Lineage: Eukaryota; Evosea; Eumycetozoa; Dictyosteliales; Dictyosteliaceae.